CCUACGGGAGGCAGCAGUGGGGAAUAUUGGACAAUGGGGGAAAGCCUGAUCCAGCCAUGCCGCGUGUGUGAAGAAGGUCUUCGGAUUGUAAAGCACUUUAAGUUGGGAGGAAGGGCAGUAAAUUAAUACCUUGCUGUUUUGACGUUACCGACAGAAUAAGCACCGGCUAACUCUGUGCCAGCAGCCGCGGUAAUA
RNAcentral lists this ribosomal RNA (195 nucleotides) under uncultured bacterium. Its description in RNAcentral is "partial 16S ribosomal RNA". It matches the Rfam family "Bacterial small subunit ribosomal RNA", at positions 338 to 525 of the family's 1533-position model. The record is from RNAcentral.